GAGCUUGCUCCCUGAUGUUAGCGGCGGACGGGUGAGUAACACGUGGGUAACCUGCCUGUAAGACUGGGAUAACUCCGGGAAACCGGGGCUAAUACCGGAUGGUUGUUUGAACCGCAUGGUUCAAACAUAAAAGGUGGCUUCGGCUACCACUUACAGAUGGACCCGCGGCGCAUUAGCUAGUUGGUGAGGUAACGGCUCACCAAGGCAACGAUGCGUAGCCGACCUGAGAGGGUGAUCGGCCACACUGGGACUGAGACACGGCCCAGACUCCUACGGGAGGCAGCAGUAGGGAAUCUUCCGCAAUGGACGAAAGUCUGACGGAGCAACGCCGCGUGAGUGAUGAAGGUUUUCGGAUCGUAAAGCUCUGUUGUUAGGGAAGAACAAGUACCGUUCGAAUAGGGCGGUACCUUGACGGUACCUAACCAGAAAGCCACGGCUAACUACGUGCCAGCAGCCGCGGUAAUACGUAGGUGGCAAGCGUUGUCCGGAAUUAUUGGGCGUAAAGGGCUCGCAG
Molecule: ribosomal RNA, 514 nt
Filed under: Bacillus subtilis
Lineage: Bacteria; Bacillati; Bacillota; Bacilli; Caryophanales; Bacillaceae
Description: bacterial SSU rRNA
Rfam family: Bacterial small subunit ribosomal RNA
Source: RNAcentral